CAUACCUCUGUCCUAGAAGCCGGAAAAGGAGUGAAAACAGAUUGGGGAGAUAAGCCUAAAAAGUAAUAUAUUCAAAACCACCCAGCAGUAGGCUUUAUUAAGAACAAACUGGGUAAACAUUCUGCCAUGUUUCUUAUUAAAAAUGGCCAGCGUUUCAUGAAGGAUAACAUUUUUAUACAGAAGGCAGUCAAGCUCAACCCAGAGCCAUGGAGGCCCCAGAGGGUUGUCUUUAAGACCCCGUUUCUGACCUUGACGUCGCAGCGUGUUUCUGUCUGAGGGCAGUGGGCGUGGGCUUGCCUCCCGCAAGCCACUCUGGUCAGGCUGUUGAGCUCUAGUCAUCUGUGGAGAGAAUCAUGCAAAUUUUAAAGUUCUUCCAAGAGACUUCCAUAUCCUGGUUAUUAACAAAAAAAAAAAAAAAAAAAAAAAAAAAAACCAAACAAAAAAGAAAAAAAUGUAAUAACUGAUAUGAUUUUGUAAAAGUAUUUUUCUUGAAAUAAUCUAACGUUUAAAACAUUAUAUUAAAAAAAGUUGUGUGGUGGGAAUAUGUAAGCAGAGAAAUAACUUGUAAAUGGAUAAUUUUAUUCUCUGUACCACCAAUUGGGGGGGGGGGAUGACUUUCACAAUGUAUAGGUUAAAAAAAUCUGAUAUAUCAAACCAUUUGUAUCUAAUGUGUACAGUGUAAAAUUGACUUUAAAAAUAUUGCAGUGCUAUUUUUUCUUAAUCAGAAAGGAAAAAUUCUCAAGGCCUUUUGAAGAGCAUAAGAUGAUGAAGAUUGUAAACUUGUAUAAAAUUAUCUUGGUGAGAAGACAAAUUGUAAAGUAGAUAUUUGUAAUCUUUUACCACUUUGGGGUUGCUUUUUUUCCCAGAAUUCAUCAGAACUUUGAAUUUUUUUUUAAUAUGGGCUGUUUUUAAUGCAGGGGCUUUUCUUCCCUAGAAAUCCAAUUCUAAGCAAAAAAAAAAAAAAAAAAAAAAAAGAAAAAACCCACAAAAAACAAAAAAACCCACAAAAACAUGGCUGUGUGUUUUUUUCCUAUCCGUGUAAAGUGGCCACCUCUUCUCUCUGGGGAGAGAGGGUCUUUUGUUCUGUGACCACGUCCUUUUUAUUUUUCCUUUGCUGAUUGGCAGGUGUCCUUUCUCUUAUGAAAUGAUAGUGAUGAUGGGUUUAAGGUUUUGAAAGUUAGUUUUGAACAGGUGGUGCAUGUACAGGGUGCCCUGCCCGCCUCCCCGUCAUCGGUACCUCUGCGUGUCAAUCAUGCCUGACCCCGUCUGGCUCGUGUGUGCUCAUGGGUAAAAGGUGAUACCAUCCGCCCCACAUCGCUCCUUUGGUGGGAGGUUGGGGGAAGAGGUGAGAAAGAUCUUAGAUUGGGGGAUCCCUGGGUGGCUCAACAGUGUAGCACCAUCUUCAGCCCAGGACCUGAUCCUGGAGACCCAGGAUCGAGUCCCACAUCGGGCUCCCUGCCUGCUUCUCCCUCUGCCUGUGUCUCUGCCUCUCUGUCUCUCUCUCAUGAGUAAAUGAAUAAAAUCUUUAAAAAAAAAUCUUAGAUGCCAUUGAAAUGUUAUAAUCGUAUGCACGGUGCCCCCCAUGUGUUAUAAUAGAUUUGGUUGGGGCCCAGUGAUGGGCCAAGGGCACUCAUUGUAACAUCGUUGCUAUGGCGAAGCAGGGUCUUCUUUAGGAUGAUGCUGUUGCUCCUGCGGUUGACAUCAUCUUUGCGGUCCUUACGACAAGCUGGUUUCUGCGGUGGGUGUUUGCACCAGCCACUGAAAUGACCUCUUUUGUUACCUGAGGGC
Molecule: long non-coding RNA, 1788 nt
Filed under: Canis lupus familiaris (dog)
Lineage: Eukaryota; Metazoa; Chordata; Mammalia; Carnivora; Canidae
Description: lncRNA (ENSCAFG00030025745.1)
Source: RNAcentral